UGCCCCAAGAUCCUCGGUCUUCUGACCAGGAGACUCCAGAUCCUUGAUGGUUUUGCCUUCCUCUGCAAUAUGGAUUACCCUGGUAUGGAAGGGAGAACACCCUGGUUCACAUAUGGAAUUUCUCUGGGCGAACAACCUUCAUAUUGAUGAAUGAAUGGAACCGUAUGCCCCAAGAUCCUCAGCCUUCUGACCAGGAGGUCAUAUCUUCUCAAUCAAAUUUGCCAUUAUAUUGCCUAUGCUUAAUUUCUUGCAUAAGAUUGUUAUAAAUUAGUUGUACAGUUGUGUUGGUCAUAGUCUUUUAUCUCCUAGCUACUUCUUAAGGCUUUUCUACUGCAUUACUACUAAUUAGCCAAAUUAAUCCCCAUUACUGUU
This is a long non-coding RNA of Triticum dicoccoides, 372 nucleotides long. RefSeq lists it as uncharacterized. The record is from RefSeq and is a predicted model, not a curated record. The transcript is spliced from 3 exons. NCBI's taxonomy places the organism in Eukaryota, Viridiplantae, Streptophyta, Magnoliopsida, Poales, Poaceae.